Molecule: ribosomal RNA, 253 nt
Filed under: uncultured bacterium
Lineage: Bacteria
Description: partial 16S ribosomal RNA
Rfam family: Bacterial small subunit ribosomal RNA
Source: RNAcentral
UACGAAGGGGGCUAGCGUUGUUCGGAAUCACUGGGCGUAAAGCGCACGUAGGCGGAUUGUUAAGUCGGGGGUGAAAUCCUGAGGCUCAACCUCAGAACUGCCUCCGAUACUGGCAAUCUCGAGUUCGGAAGAGGUUGGUGGAACAGCUAGUGUAGAGGUGAAAUUCGUAGAUAUUCGCAAGAACACCAGUGGCGAAGGCGGCUCACUGGCUCGGUACUGACGCUGAGGUGCGAAAGCGUGGGGAGCAAACAGG